Molecule: non-coding RNA, 122 nt
Organism: Colletotrichum orbiculare MAFF 240422
Lineage: Eukaryota; Fungi; Ascomycota; Sordariomycetes; Glomerellales; Glomerellaceae
Source: Rfam
ACAUACGACCAUACCCAUUGGAAAACUCGGGAUCCCGUCCGCUCUCCCAUAGAUAAGCCAAUGAGGGCCGGAUUAGUAGUUGGGUCGGUGACGACCAGCGAAUACCUGGUGUGAUGGAUUUG